AUUGAACGCUGGCGGCAGGCUUAACACAUGCAAGUCGAGCGAGCGGCGGACGGGUGAGUAAUGUCUGGGCAACUGCCUGAUGGAGGGGGAUAACUACUGGAAACGGUAGCUAAUACCGCAUACCAUCAGCUGUGUCCAGAUGGGAUGAGCUAGUAGGGGGGGGAAUGGCUCACCUAGGCGACGAUCCCUAGCGGGGCUGAGAGGAUGACCGGCCACACUGGAACUGAGACACGGUCCAGACUCCUACGGGAGGCAGCAGUUGGGAAUAUUGGACAAUGGGCGCAAGCCUGAUGCAGCAAUGCCGCGUGUGUGAAGAAGGCCUUCGGGUUGUAAAGCUCUUUUGGCGGGGAGGCGGUACCCGAAGAGGAAGCACCGGCUAACUCCGUGCCAGCAGCCGCGGUAAUAC
RNAcentral lists this ribosomal RNA (406 nucleotides) under uncultured bacterium. Its description in RNAcentral is "partial 16S ribosomal RNA". It matches the Rfam family "Bacterial small subunit ribosomal RNA", at positions 29 to 526 of the family's 1533-position model. The record is from RNAcentral.